GCCCCGCCCUCUAGGCUCCGCGGCACAGGGCAGGGGGCGGUGGCUGGCUGGGCGUGGGGCCUAAUUCGGCAGUGCAGAUCUAACACCUGCGUCGAGACCCGCCUUCGCGGCUCCUUGUCCCCACUCGCAGCCAUCGCCGGCCUCUGGGCCUGUGAGAAGGCGAUGGAGCGCGCGCGCAGGGAGGGAAAUGGAAGCGCGAGAGCUCUCCGAGGACGCGCUUCUUCCACCCGCCCCCAAACCGUCCGCGCUGAGAAAGGGAAACGGGUAGAGGGAGAGGUUUGUUUCCAACUCGAAAUCGCGAGAUUAGUCCCUUCCGUUGUACGCCCUCUCCGCCCUCAGGUUCCCUUCUCGGGCCCAUUCGUCCACACUCUGAACCGGAAUAACGUGGGAUGCGCGUCAAAAUGCAGAUUCCUUCAUCCUCAUCUCUGACCUGAAUCAGCCUGCAAACCUGCAUUUCGUGAGCCAUCCUUAAAGUUUAUUGAAUUGGCCAUAAGCUGAUUGUAAGGCCCAUGACAGUUUGAGACUGGUGUCAUAAAGAGACUGGAAUAACCAUUUGUAGAAUAUUCUUUAUUUAAAGAAAUCGACGUUUAUAAGCAAACACUGUUAGUGCCCUCUGACAAAAGAGAAAAGCAACUAAAUCACCGUUGGUCAUUUCCUGAUCAUCUGAUUGUCCACCCACUAGAGUGUCUUAAAAACUACAUCAAGCUGGGAAGAAAGGAAGAAGAAUGGAAUAAGUAAAUGUAAAAAGGGAACGUGUACAAAAGACUAGAGGAAGCACCAAUGCUUUACAAUUUGCAUUUCAUCCUAACAGAAUGAAAAGAAAAAUCACUGGAGAGUGAAACAAUGAAAUGAAGAGGAGACUGUCUAAUACACAGGCCUCAUUCCCUGUUUCUGCAUUAGCAUCUGACCCCCUCUGCUGGAGACAAAGACACCGGAAAAAGGAAUGUAGAGAAAGAGACCGAAGAAGAAUGUUUUCGAUAAAGGAGUGGCAAGGAAAGAAGUGAAAGAAAAUGUUGAUCAAGUCCAGGAAAACAUAAGAGGAAGAAAUACAAAGCCAGGUGAAAGAAUAAGAGAGAGAAAGGAGGAAAAAAUUGCUGAAUGAAACAAAAGACAGAUUAACAAAUGGAGCAAAGGUGGUAUUGUAAAUAUUAUUUAAAUAAUUGCUAAUUAUGUAGGUUUUAAAAAAAUGAAGUGGGCAAAGAACUGAGAAAGAAAGACCUCAUAGUGGAUGUAAUUUGAAAUUGCCAAAAAUAUGUACUUGGUGUAUUGGCAAUAAAGCAAAACUGGGAUACUCCCAACUAGGUUCAAAGUUAUGCCAUCUCUGUGUGUAUCUAUCUAGAGCUAGAAGAAUUUCCCAUGACUAAGUUAAAUAUCUCAUUCCAGGU
Molecule: long non-coding RNA, 1385 nt
Organism: Choloepus didactylus (southern two-toed sloth)
Lineage: Eukaryota; Metazoa; Chordata; Mammalia; Pilosa; Megalonychidae
Exons: 4
Source: RefSeq, a predicted model, not a curated record